This 407-nucleotide ribosomal RNA is filed under the name Glandirana rugosa (Japanese wrinkled frog). Its description in RNAcentral is "Rugosa rugosa (Japanese wrinkled frog) partial 12S rRNA". Lineage: Eukaryota; Metazoa; Chordata; Amphibia; Anura; Ranidae. The record is from RNAcentral.
ACAAAGGUUUGGUCCUAGCCUUAUUAUCAACUGUUUCUCAACUUACACAUGCAAGUCUCAGCACACCCGUGAAAACGCCCUUUUAUCCUUAACCAGGUCAAGGAGCCGGCAUCAGGCACAACCAUUUGCCCAUGACGCCUAGUCUUACCACGCCCCCAAGGGUCAUCAGCAGUGAUAAAUCUUGUGCAUAAGCGCCAGCUUGACCCAGUUAGAGAAAAGAGGGCCGGCUAACCUGGUGCCAGCCGCCGCGGCUACACCGUGGGGCCCAAGUUGAUAACCUCCGGCGUUAAGCGUGAUUAAAGUCCAUCCAAAUUAAAGUCAAAUUAACACUUAGUAGUUAUAAGCUUGUUGUUGAGAAGAACAUAAACGAAAGUUACUUUAAUUAUCCAACUUGAAUACACGACAGC